UAUCGAGGAACUCUGGCUAAGAUCGCCACAUCCUGUGGCAACGCCUGAGUGACCACCAUCCUGGUGG
RNAcentral lists this small RNA (67 nucleotides) under Psychrobacillus sp. OK032. RNAcentral describes it as "Bacillaceae-1 RNA". It matches the Rfam family "Bacillaceae-1 RNA". The record is from RNAcentral. Lineage: Bacteria; Bacillati; Bacillota; Bacilli; Caryophanales; Bacillaceae.